AACGAACGCUGGCGGCGUGCCUAACACAUGCAAGUCGAACGAGAAAGGGGCUUCGGCUCCGAGUAAAGUCGCGCACGGGUGAGUAACACGUGGGUAACCUGCCUCUAAGAUUGGGAUAACUCGUCGAAAGAUGAGCUAAUACCGAAUAAGACCACAGUUCCCGCGGGAACAGUGGUCAAAGGUAGCCUCUGCUUGCAAGCUAUCACUUAGAGAUGUGCCUGCGCACCUUUAGCUAGUUGGGAGGGUAACGGCCUACCAAGGCAAAGAUGGUUAGCUGGUCUGGGAGGAUGAACAAGCACACUGGAACUGAGACACGGGCCAGACUCCUACGGGAGGCAGCAGGUGGGAAUAUUGCGCAAUGGGCGAAAGCUUGACGCAGCAACGCCGCGUGAGGGAAGAAGGCCUUCGGGUCGCAAAGCUCUGUCGGGAUGGGCGAAUGCUCCGGAGGUUAACAGCCUCGGGAGGUGACGGUACCUUCAGAGGAAGCACCGGCUAACUCUGUG
RNAcentral lists this ribosomal RNA (503 nucleotides) under uncultured bacterium. RNAcentral describes it as "partial 16S ribosomal RNA". It matches the Rfam family "Bacterial small subunit ribosomal RNA", at positions 29 to 507 of the family's 1533-position model. The record is from RNAcentral.